AGAUUAAUUGAAAUCAAUGAGAAACAUCUCUUUCUACAAUUUGAAACCCUUAAGACUCUAGUUUAGUGCUAAGAUUAAGGAAGUAGAGUGGUUAGUGAGUUGUGAGUGGAAAUAUAAGAAUUAAUAGAGAGGAAGUAAUUAUGGAACUAUUAUGGAAUCUGUUGUUAAUCAGUUGAAUGCGUCUAUGAUAGUUACAAAGAGUGGACUGAGUAUAAAAUGU
Molecule: unclassified non-coding RNA, 220 nt
Filed under: Hevea brasiliensis (rubber tree)
Lineage: Eukaryota; Viridiplantae; Streptophyta; Magnoliopsida; Malpighiales; Euphorbiaceae
Source: RNAcentral